AGUACACUGAAAUAAAUCAAUGAGACUAUUUUAUUGGAUAUUUCAUAUAAGAUCGACUCCGUGCUGAACUUGUAUGUUUUAUAUGUGUAACUGUUUAGGUUCACCUGCGAUCAAAUAAAAAUAACAAAAAGUAGAGCCAUUUUGGAUCAUAUGCGUAUACUAUAUGUUCAGCACUAGCUUUGCAUAUAACUUUGAUAGAUCCACCUCUGUGGUGCUUACUAUAUGCAUGUUCGUCAUAUCGAUAGUAUGAUUUCAGCACUACAGCACUGGAAGUAAAUUUACAAAAUGGUGAAAAAACAAAAGUUCCGAACUUGGCAUUUCUGUGCUUUGACUUUAUCAUGCUUGCCAUCUAAAGAUGAUACUGUUUGCUACUAUAAAUGGUUCUCUUGAGCGGCUUUUACAUUGAGAGAAGGUGAAAAUCAUAAGUUACGGAUUAAGGCCUUCUUGUGCAGCGAUUUGAAUCUGCAGAAAGAUGAUGGAUUGCUACGCAUGAAAACGGUAUCUUGGAAAAAUCGUCCAGGAAUUUAGCAUUUAGAUUUCAUUCUGGACCCAACUACAACAUAAUGAAGUGACCAAUGCGAGCUGUCAAUGAUCAAGUAUUAUAUAUUUAU
RNAcentral lists this long non-coding RNA (611 nucleotides) under Aedes aegypti (yellow fever mosquito). RNAcentral's name for it is "lncRNA AAEL023683". The record is from RNAcentral. Lineage: Eukaryota; Metazoa; Arthropoda; Insecta; Diptera; Culicidae.